Nomascus leucogenys (northern white-cheeked gibbon) is the source of this 544-nucleotide RNA transcript. It is a transcript of the gene named X antigen family member 3 pseudogene, with no coding region annotated. The transcript has a single exon. Lineage: Eukaryota; Metazoa; Chordata; Mammalia; Primates; Hylobatidae. The record is from RefSeq and is a predicted model, not a curated record.
AUGAGUUGGCAAGGAAGAUCAGCAGGUAGGCUUAGACCAAGACGGUAUCUGCAGCCUCCUGAGCUAACUGGGCCUGUGCUUGAGCCCAGUGAUGAACAGCCUCAACGAGAGGAACCACCACCUGAAAGUCGGGGUCCUACACCUGGCCAGGAGAGAGAGGAAGAUCACGGUGCCGCUGAGAUUCUUGUGCUUGACCAGGAAGCUGAUCUCCGGGAGCUGUCUCAAAGACUGGGAUGAAUGUGGAGAUGGUCCUGAUGUCCGGGGAAGAUUCUGCCGAAAUCAGAGCAAUUUAAAUUGCCAGAAGGAGGUGAAGGGCAACCACAGGUUCCAAGGAAGACAAGCUGAAACAAUGCAAACUGGUUUUAUAUUAGAUAAUGACUUAAAAUAUCUCAAUACAGUUUUCUCCAAAAAAAAAAAAAGUUAGCCGAGUAUGGGGGUGUGCUCGGUAUGGCUUGAGCCCAGGAGUGAGUUUGAAGCUGCACCGAGCAAUGACUGUGCCACUGCACCCCUGUCUGGGCAAUGGAGUAAGACCCUGUCUCUAAAA